GGCGCAGGCCGAGCGCGCCGGUUUCGCCAACCUGCUCGCCUGGAUCAGGCAACCGAUGGAACCGGGCAGCAAUUCCUAAACCGAAGGUCGGGGGUUCGACUCCCUCCGGGACCGCCA
RNAcentral lists this transfer RNA (117 nucleotides) under Chloroflexota bacterium. RNAcentral describes it as "Chloroflexi bacterium (rhizosphere metagenome) tRNA-OTHER". The record is from RNAcentral. Lineage: Bacteria; Bacillati; Chloroflexota.